AUUACAUUUGAUUGGCCGUUUUUAAGCUCAACCAAACGUACACGUAAAAAAUUACAUAGAUUGGAAGAAAGAAUUGUAAUCAUUGAUCUCAAAGAGAAAUUACACACAGAGAAAUGGAGAGAGAAGCGAGGAGGAAGAGGAUAAUGGAGGGAGGGUCCGAUCGUUUGGCACUCAUCUCGGGCCGGGUUCACAGCAUGGACCCGCUGUCUUCCCCGAAUUCAUUUUCCGGCCAGUCAUCCACAUAUUCUACACCUGGUGAUAAUUAUCGUGGACACGCAUACUCUGAGUCAGAUUCCGGAAUAAACAAUACUGUUUUCUUUCCAGAUCAUCGUCAUGGUAUGCUCCGUUCAAAUUCUAUGCUUUUAUUUCAUUCUCUGCGUGGAUUUAUGUGAGAUAUACUUCAAUUUAUUCCGGGUGUGAAUUAUGAUUGUUUGCGUGAUGGAAUCGAGAAAUUAUGAAAUUUCCUAUUAAUCAUUAUCAUGGAAUUAAAAUGAGGUAAUAUUCUUGUACUUUAAUGCAGAUUUCAUUCGGGGUUUGAUUGAAAACUUUACUUCUUUUAGAAAAACCUGCUUUAUUUAUAUUUAUUGGUGGGCGUGGAGCUAAAUUGUGAUUUGUGGAACUAAAAUUAAAAUUCGGUGGAGAAUGUAUUGAGAAACUUUGUUCUUUUCUUGAUUGAAACUGAAACUGCAUCUUAAAUUUCAAGUGGAAGUUGAUGGAUUAUUGAACUUCAUUCGAGAUCAAAUUCAAAUACAAAAAUUGUCAACUACCACAGGAUGCAUUGUUCCUUUAAGCUAUCUUUGUUACCUAGUGCUGAUUACUUAACAGAGUAGGACCUUCCCUCGAACAGGAUUUUAGUUUUUUAUGUUCUUGUUUAUUACUUUCUAGUACUGUACAGCACGUUACUGUACAGCUUAUUACUAAACAAGGUUAAAGAAAUUUAUCUUGUCACAUUGUCAUUGUUUAUCUGAUUAUAAACAUUGAUCUUGAAGGUGGUAAUGACACAUUUAAUAUACAGUCGAGACACGAUAUCUUUGAUGAUGGCGAUUCUCAAGUAAAAGUAACUAAAUUUGAAGCCAAAGUUGCUGAAGUGGAGCAAUCUGAGGUAAAAUCAGUCCUCACACCACUUUCUGCUGCUAAACCUGGAAAUGAAGUAGAAUCAUCACUUGUGGCUACAACAGUCUCCAAGGCUUCAUAUGAUGCAAAUGCAAAGCCAUUUCAAAAACCAUUUGGCAACCUUUUCAGUUCAAGAACUCCAAGAGAAAUAAAUUCCUGCAUCAUCACCUCGGAGAAUACACGAGUUUUCUGUUCUAUUGUGAUAGCAAUUUUGGUAGUUCUAUCGCAUGUUAAUUUUCCCUGUAAAGUGGUGAAGUCGAAGAGCCUUAUUGCUUGGAGACCUCUUUAUGUAGUUUUGCUGACUGAUUUGAUGAUAGUAGCUGCUCGACUGGCACUCUAUGUGCAACGAGGUUCUGAUAAGGCGGAACAAGAUGAGGAACAAAGAUUUCAGGAAGAUGGGCAUAAUUGGGGAUCAGCCAUUAAGUUGUUGGAAUUCGGUUUGGUUUUGCAUCAGACGGUUCGUGCUGUAUUCAUUGAUUGCAGUUUUUACCUGGUGAUUGUAGUAUGUGGCCUUUCUUUAGUGUAGAAACACUUGCUGCAGCCUGCAUUCAUGAACGCUGGCUCCUGGGUUCACUUUGCUCUCGUAAGUGCAGCAUUAAAAUUGUUUAGCUUGAUUCCGUCUAUUUUCGUUUUAUGAGAUUUCUAUUUAAAUGACACUGUUAUUUGUAUUGUAGCAUCUUAUUAUUGAUAAAUCAGCUAUUUUGAUAAAUUGGAGAAAUAAGCAAAGUUCCGCCGAACUGGAAGAACUGAAUAAUUUUUCUCCAGUUCAUAUGGAAAAAGAAAAGAAAUAAAAUGGGUUCAGAGUAUUCUUUCUUGAGUUCUCCAGUUCAGACGC
RNAcentral lists this long non-coding RNA (1948 nucleotides) under Olea europaea subsp. europaea. Lineage: Eukaryota; Viridiplantae; Streptophyta; Magnoliopsida; Lamiales; Oleaceae. The record is from RNAcentral.